This 77-nucleotide transfer RNA is filed under the name Acidilobus sp. 7A. RNAcentral's name for it is "tRNA-Met". It matches the Rfam family "tRNA". Rfam says of the family: Transfer RNA (tRNA) molecules are approximately 80 nucleotides in length. The record is from RNAcentral. Lineage: Archaea; Thermoproteati; Thermoproteota; Thermoprotei; Acidilobales; Acidilobaceae. RNAcentral also lists the same sequence under 1 other name.
GCCGCCGUAGCUCAGCAGGUAAGAGCGCCGGACUCAUAAUCCGGAGGUCCCGGGUUCAAACCCCGGCGGCGGCACCA